Molecule: ribosomal RNA, 694 nt
Filed under: Enterobacter asburiae
Lineage: Bacteria; Pseudomonadati; Pseudomonadota; Gammaproteobacteria; Enterobacterales; Enterobacteriaceae
Description: bacterial SSU rRNA
Rfam family: Bacterial small subunit ribosomal RNA
Source: RNAcentral
AUCGGAAUUACUGGGCGUAAGCGCACGCAGGCGGUCUGUCAAGUCGGAUGUGAAAUCCCCGGGCUCAACCUGGGAACUGCAUUCGAAACUGGCAGGCUAGAGUCUUGUAGAGGGGGGUAGAAUUCCAGGUGUAGCGGUGAAAUGCGUAGAGAUCUGGAGGAAUACCGGUGGCGAAGGCGGCCCCCUGGACAAAGACUGACGCUCAGGUGCGAAAGCGUGGGGAGCAAACAGGAUUAGAUACCCUGGUAGUCCACGCCGUAAACGAUGUCGACUUGGAGGUUGUGCCCUUGAGGCGUGGCUUCCGGAGCUAACGCGUUAAGUCGACCGCCUGGGGAGUACGGCCGCAAGGUUAAAACUCAAAUGAAUUGACGGGGGCCCGCACAAGCGGUGGAGCAUGUGGUUUAAUUCGAUGCAACGCGAAGAACCUUACCUACUCUUGACAUCCAGAGAACUUUGCAGAGAUGGAUUGGUGCCUUCGGGAACUCUGAGACAGGUGCUGCAUGGCUGUCGUCAGCUCGUGUUGUGAAAUGUUGGGUUAAGUCCCGCAACGAGCGCAACCCUUAUCCUUUGUUGCCAGCGGUCAGGCCGGGAACUCAAAGGAGACUGCCAGUGAUAAACUGGAGGAAGGUGGGGAUGACGUCCAGUCAUCAUGGGCCUUACGAGUAGGGCUACACACGUGCUACAAUGGCGCAUA